GUUGAUUGAAAUUUAGUGCUUGGUUGGAAUGAUUGAGGAUUGAAAUUGAAAAAUGAGGUUGUUGGUUGUUUAAGAAUGAGGUGAUGUUAUGAUGUUAGUUAAAAAAAAAAAGAGAAAAAUGAAGAAAAAAAAAUUAAAAAAGAAGAGAAGGAAAAGAAAAUGUUGGAGUUUGAAUGCCUAUGUAUUGGGAAUAAGGGUUGAUUUGAUUUAGUAUGAUUUUGGAAUUCGAAUGUGGUGAACUACUUGCAUUUUGUUGGUUUUAUUAGCCUUGUUUAUCCACUUUUGUUUAUCCUACCUAUGCACCCUAGCCCCAUUACAACCUUGUGGAAAGACCUAUUGAUUCAUGGAUAAGUUUAGUUUUCAAAUGAAAGAUAUUGACAUAGUGGCAAACUUAUAAUGGAUAGAGUCGAGUUGCAUGUGUG
This 422-nucleotide long non-coding RNA is filed under the name Salvia miltiorrhiza (redroot sage). Its description in RNAcentral is "long non-coding RNA (SMIL_LNC009564)". Lineage: Eukaryota; Viridiplantae; Streptophyta; Magnoliopsida; Lamiales; Lamiaceae. The record is from RNAcentral.